AUUUAUUGGGUUUAAGGGUGCGUAGGCGGGCUUAUAAGUCAGCGGUGAAAGUUCAUGGCUCAGCCAUGAAAUUGCCGUUGAAACUGUGAGUCUUGAGUGUAGAUGAGGUGGGCGGAAUUCGUAGUGUAGCGGUGAAAUGCUUAGAUAUUACGAAGAACUCCAAUUGCGAAGGCAGCUCACUAGACUACAACUGACGCUGAGGCACGAAGGUGCGGGGAUCAAACAGGAUUAGAUACCCUGGUAGUCCGCACAGUAAACGAUGAAUACUAACUGUUUGCGAUACACAGCAAGGUGGUACAGUGAAAACGUUAAGUAUACCACCUGGGGGAGUACGUUCGCAAAGAAUGAAACUCAAAGGAAUGGACGGGGGGCCCGCACAAGGCGGAGGAACAUGUGGUUUAAUUCGAUGAUACGCGAAGGAACCUUACCCGGGGCUUGAAUUGCAUUUGAAUACGGGUAGAAACAUCGUAGCCAGCAAUGGCAAAUGUGAAGGUGCUGCAUGGUUGUCGUCAGCUCGUGCCGUGAGGUGUCGGCUUAAGUGCCAUAACGAGCGCAACCCUCAUCAUUAGUUACUAACAGGUCAUGCUGAGGACUCUAAUGAGACUGCCAGCGUAAGCUGUGAGGAAGGUGGGGAUGACGUCAAAUCAGCACGGCCCUUACGUCCGGGGCGACACACGUGUUACAAUGGGGGGGAACGGCAGGCAGCUACACGGCGACGUGAUGCUAAUCCCCAAACCCCCUCUCAGUUCGGAUCGAAGUCUGCAACCCGACUCUCGUGAAGCUGGAUUCGCUAGUAAUCGCGCAUCACCAUGGCGCGGGGAAUACGUUCCCGGGCCUUGUGACACACCGCC
This 851-nucleotide ribosomal RNA is filed under the name uncultured Bacteroides sp. RNAcentral describes it as "bacterial SSU rRNA". It matches the Rfam family "Bacterial small subunit ribosomal RNA", at positions 549 to 1394 of the family's 1533-position model. The record is from RNAcentral. Lineage: Bacteria; Pseudomonadati; Bacteroidota; Bacteroidia; Bacteroidales; Bacteroidaceae.